GGAUUCGUGCCUGAACGCUAGAGGACUACUUUGAUGAAGUAGAAAAUGGGAGUUAAAAUCCCCCCGAAUCCU
This 72-nucleotide transfer RNA is filed under the name Tomistoma schlegelii (false gharial). RNAcentral's name for it is "transfer RNA-Ile". It matches the Rfam family "tRNA". Rfam says of the family: Transfer RNA (tRNA) molecules are approximately 80 nucleotides in length. Their secondary structure includes four short double-helical elements and three loops (D, anti-codon, and T loops). Further hydrogen bonds mediate the characteristic L-shaped molecular structure. tRNAs have two regions of fundamental functional importance: the anti-codon, which is responsible for specific mRNA codon recognition, and the 3' end, to which the tRNAs corresponding amino acid is attached (by aminoacyl-tRNA synthetases). tRNAs cope with the degeneracy of the genetic code in two manners: having more than one tRNA (with a specific anti-codon) for a particular amino acid; and 'wobble' base-pairing, i.e. permitting non-standard base-pairing at the 3rd anti-codon position. The record is from RNAcentral. Lineage: Eukaryota; Metazoa; Chordata; Crocodylia; Gavialidae.